Molecule: ribosomal RNA, 467 nt
Filed under: uncultured bacterium
Lineage: Bacteria
Description: partial 16S ribosomal RNA
Rfam family: Bacterial small subunit ribosomal RNA
Source: RNAcentral
GACGAACGCUGGCGGCGUGCUUAACACAUGCAAGUCGAACGGAAAGGCCCUGCUUUUGUGGGGUGCUCGAGUGGCGAACGGGUGAGUAACACGUGAGUAACCUGCCCUUGACUUUGGGUUACUUCAGGAAACCGGGGCUAAUAACGGAUUAGAAGUUCUUCUGCAUGGGGGGGGUUGGGAAGGUUCGGCGGUUGGGGAUGGACUCGCGGCUUAUCAGCUUGUUGGUGGGGUAGUGGCUUACCAAGGCUUUGACGGGUAGCCGGCCUGAGAGGGUGACCGGCCACAUUGGGACUGAGAUACGGCCCAGACUCCUACGGGAGGCAGCAGUGGGGAAUAUUGCACAAUGGGCGGAAGCCUGAUGCAGCAACGCCGCGUGCGGGAUGACGGCCUUCGGGUUGUAAACCGCUUUCGCCUGUGACGAAGCGUGAGUGACGGUAAUGGGUAAAGAAGCACCGGCUAACUACGUG